GACGAACGCUGGCGGCGUGCUUAACACAUGCAAGUCGAACGGAAAGGCCCUGCUUUUGUGGGGUGCUCGAGUGGCGAACGGGUGAGUAACACGUGAGUAACCUGCCCUUGACUUUGGGAUAACUUCAGGAAACUGGGGCUAAUACCGGAUAGGAGCUCCUGCUGCAUGGUGGAGGUUGGAAAGUUUCGGCGGUUGGGGAUGGACUCGCGGCUUAUCAGCUUGUUGGUGGGGUAGUGGCUUACCAAGGCUUUGACGGGUAGCCGGCCUGAGAGGGUGACCGGCCACAUUGGGACUGAGAUACGGCCCAGACUCCUACGGGAGGCAGCAGUGGGGAAUAUUGCACAAUGGGCGGAAGCCUGAUGCAGCAACGCCGCGUGCGGGAUGACGGCCUUCGGGUUGUAAACCGCUUUCGCCUGUGACGAAGCGUGAGUGACGGUAAUGGGUAAAGAAGCACCGGCUAACUACGU
Molecule: ribosomal RNA, 467 nt
Filed under: uncultured bacterium
Lineage: Bacteria
Description: partial 16S ribosomal RNA
Rfam family: Bacterial small subunit ribosomal RNA
Source: RNAcentral